RNAcentral lists this unclassified non-coding RNA (375 nucleotides) under uncultured Pseudomonadota bacterium. Its description in RNAcentral is "uncultured proteobacterium contains 16S-23S intergenic spacer region". The record is from RNAcentral. Lineage: Bacteria; Pseudomonadati; Pseudomonadota.
UCCGGUUUGUCACCGGCAGUCUCAUUAGAGUGCCCUUGCGUAGCAACUAAUGAUAAGGGUUGCGCUCGUUGCGGGACUUAACCCAACAUCUCACGACACGAGCUGACGACAGCCAUGCAGCACCUGUGUUACGGCUCCCUUUCGGGCACCCUCACAUCUCUAUGAGGUUCCGUACAUGUCAAGGGUAGGUAAGGUUUUUCGCGUUGCGUCGAAUUAAACCACAUGUUCCACCGCUUGUGCGGACCCCCGUCAAUUCCUUUGAGUUUUAAUCUUGCGACCGUACUUCCCAGGUGGAUCACUUAGCGCGUUAGCUUCGAUACCGAUCUUGCAGAGCAAGACCAACAUCUAGUGAUCAUCGUUUACAGCGUGGACUAC